This 468-nucleotide ribosomal RNA is filed under the name uncultured bacterium. RNAcentral describes it as "partial 16S ribosomal RNA". It matches the Rfam family "Bacterial small subunit ribosomal RNA", at positions 28 to 507 of the family's 1533-position model. The record is from RNAcentral.
GACGAACGCUGGCGGCGUGCUUAACACAUGCAAGUCGAACGGAAAGGCCCUGCUUUUGUGGGGUGCUCGAGUGGCGAACGGGUGAGUAACACGUGAGUAACCUGCCCUUGACUUUGGGAUAACUUCAGGAAACUGGGGCUAAUACCGGAUAGGAGCUCCUGCUGCAUGGUGGGGGUUGGAAAGUUUCGGCGGUUGGGGAUGGACUCGCGGCUUAUCAGCUUGUUGGUGGGGUAGUGGCUUACCAAGGCUUUGACGGGUAGCCGGCCUGAGAGGGUGACCGGCCACAUUGGGCCUGAGAUACGGCCCAGACUCCUACGGGAGGCAGCAGUGGGGAAUAUUGCACAAUGGGCGGAAGCCUGAUGAAGCAACGCCGCGUGCGGGAUGACGGCCUUCGGGUUGUAAACCGCUUUAGCCUGUGACGAAGCGUGAGUGACGGUAAUGGGUAAAGAAGCACCGGCUAACUACGUG